Molecule: non-coding RNA, 135 nt
Organism: Triticum aestivum (bread wheat)
Lineage: Eukaryota; Viridiplantae; Streptophyta; Magnoliopsida; Poales; Poaceae
Source: Rfam
AAAGUACUCCCUCCGUCCCAAAAUUCUUGUCUUAGAUUUGUCUAGAUACAGAUGUAUCAAGUCACAUUUUAGUAUUAGAUACAUCCGUAUCUAGACAAAUCUAAGACAAGAAAUUGGGGACAGAGGGAGUAGUUG